GUGUUGUUCGUCAAGGACCUCAUCAACUCUGCCGACGACGUGCAACUACUGGAGAGGAAGGGGAUCCUGGAGCACGACCUCGCUGACGACGACAACGCUGUGGUGAGGCUCUUCAACAGCCUCACCAGAGACGUGUCCAAGAAUUGGAAGAGUCAGUUGUUCCAGGUGCGUCAGGACGUGGAUCACCAUUACUGCAGCAACCCUUUGCGUGUCUUUCUCUAUGAGGCUUGGUCAAACCUCAAGAGCAAGUACUUCAGGAGCCCGUGGACACUCCUCGCCCUUGUCACCGCAAUCCUGCUCGUCAUCGGAGAUAUCGUGCAGGCCGUGUAUGCAGUCAUAUCCUAUGAUCCAAACGAGAAGGGCAAGCCCAAAAUGAAUUAA
This 381-nucleotide ribosomal RNA is filed under the name Triticum aestivum (bread wheat). RNAcentral's name for it is "partial small subunit ribosomal RNA". Lineage: Eukaryota; Viridiplantae; Streptophyta; Magnoliopsida; Poales; Poaceae. The record is from RNAcentral.